Triticum urartu is the source of this 584-nucleotide non-coding RNA. Lineage: Eukaryota; Viridiplantae; Streptophyta; Magnoliopsida; Poales; Poaceae. The record is from RefSeq and is a predicted model, not a curated record.
AGCGUAUGCAGUGAGAAGCUGGCUACAUGACGAUCAUGGCGCAUCCUUCCUCCCUCGCUCUCGCGGUGGCGGUGCUGGCAAUCAUCUGCUGUUUCAUGCCACGCUCAACGACGGCAAUCCGAGUUGUUCCCGACGGACUCCAUGGGCCGCAAAAUUUCCCUCCGUCGCCGCGUCCCAAUUAUUCGCCGCAUGGGGAACCCUACACGGGACGGCCGUGCGAGCACUAUUAUGGCUGCAGAACGGUUCCUGAACCACCUCCACAGGCGACAUCCCCGCCGACUCCACGCCGCAAGACCAUGCAAGUUGUGGCGAACACAUGAAUCACCGUUAUAUGCAGCGAUGGCGACGCUGCGAUAUGAUUACGAGUUCUAGAAUUAUUUUAUGUGGCAACGAUCGAGCUGAUUGAUGUGGUUGACGCCACAAUUCAGUGGAAGUUGACGCCGGAUGCAUUCAUGCUACACAAAUAUUUUGCAACCGCACUAAUAUAUGUGCGAUGACAAAUUUCUGCUGAGGAAGUUCACUGAAAAAAAUAUGUCUUGUAAACUAGCAAACCCGGGGAAUUAUAGUGUUUAUUCGCUGCCCAA